GGUAAGGUGGCCGAGCAGGCGGUGGAUUGUAGUCCCACAUACAGAGGUGUAAGUCCUCUUCUUAUCAC
RNAcentral lists this transfer RNA (68 nucleotides) under Coelorinchus multispinulosus (spearnose grenadier). Its description in RNAcentral is "tRNA-Tyr". It matches the Rfam family "tRNA". Rfam says of the family: Transfer RNA (tRNA) molecules are approximately 80 nucleotides in length. Their secondary structure includes four short double-helical elements and three loops (D, anti-codon, and T loops). Lineage: Eukaryota; Metazoa; Chordata; Actinopteri; Gadiformes; Macrouridae. The record is from RNAcentral.